This 487-nucleotide ribosomal RNA is filed under the name uncultured bacterium. RNAcentral's name for it is "bacterial SSU rRNA". It matches the Rfam family "Bacterial small subunit ribosomal RNA", at positions 30 to 506 of the family's 1533-position model. The record is from RNAcentral.
AUUGAACGCUGGCGGCAUGCUUUACACAUGCAAGUCGAACGGCAGCACAAACUUCGGUUUGGUGGCGAGUGGCGAACGGGUGAGUAAUGCAUCGGAACGUGUCCUGAAGUGGGGGGAUAACGCAUCGAAAGAUGCGCUAAUACCGCAUAAUCUCUGAGGAGAAAAGUGGGGGAUCGAAAGACCUCAUGCUUUUGGAGCGGCCGAUGUCUGAUUAGCUAGUUGGUAGGGUAAUGGCCUACCAAGGCGACGAUCAGUAGUUGGUCUGAGAGGAUGGCCAGCCACACUGGGACUGAGACACGGCCCAGACUCCUACGGGAGGCAGCAGUGGGGGAAUUUUGGGACAAUGGGCGCAAGCCUGAUCCAGCAAUGCCGCGUGAGUGAAGAAGGCCUGCGGGUUGUAAAGCUCUUUCGGCCGGGAAGAAAUCGCACAGGUUAAUACCCUGUGUGGAUGACGGUACCGGAAUAAGGAAGCACCGGCUAACUACGU